RNAcentral lists this ribosomal RNA (252 nucleotides) under uncultured bacterium. RNAcentral describes it as "partial 16S ribosomal RNA". It matches the Rfam family "Bacterial small subunit ribosomal RNA", at positions 524 to 775 of the family's 1533-position model. The record is from RNAcentral.
UACGAAGGGGGCUAGCGUUGUUCGGAUUUACUGGGCGUAAAGCGCACGUAGGCGGAUUGCUAAGUCAGGGGUGAAAUCCUGGAGCUCAACUCCAGAACUGCCUUUGAUACUGAGGAUCUCGAGUUCGGGAGAGGUGAGUGGAACUGCGAGUGUAGAGGUGAAAUUCGUAGAUAUUCGCAAGAACACCAGUGGCGAAGGCGGCUCACUGGCCCGAUACUGACGCUGAGGCACGAAAGCGUGGGGAGCAACAGG